AAUCACCAGGAAGUUGAAUAAAUCUCAUAGGAGUUGGCAAGAAGAAGUUAUCCCACUUUCAAAUCAGGUGAUUCCAGUUUCCCAGUUUGGGAAUAGCACAGCUUCUGUUGACUUGAAGAAAGUAAUGGAGCCAAUGGAGGAGUUGGGUUGAGUUUGGGUCUUGAGCAAGAAUAGGGCAAGACCUCCGGAGAUUGUCUAUCAAGGCUUUAGGAGUGUUCAGGAGUGUCCAGAAGUAUCCAAAUGAGGUGUGCAAAGUUAGGGUCAAGUCCAGGAGGGACUUAGACAUACUUAGACACCAUUUGGAGUCAGAUUGGGAGUUGGUACAAAAAUAGGGCGAGGUACGGAUGGGCGGUCCGUACCAUCGACCGUACUUGUUCCGGAUCAACCUGAAAUGAAGCUGUGCAAACUUAGGGCGCAAGAGAAGACAAACCUGAGUUAUCUUGUGACUGUUUGUGGAUAAGGGAGAGCUAGGGUGUGGUCAAUGACAGGCUGUCUUUGAGCUGUAAAGGAAAAGCAGCCUUGACCAUGUAUCUAGCCAUCUUUGUGAAUAAGGUUCAUGGGAGCCUUAAGGGAACCAAUCAGGAGCCAGCCCUUGCUUUGACCAGUUUGAAUCAACCAAUCAGCAUCCAUCACGUCCUCAGCAACCCACCAGACUCCAUCCUAGCCAUCCAUUUCAAUUCAGUCAUUUCUAUCCAUUAGAUUAAGGGUUUAUGAGUUUGCAAUGUGUAAAGCUUAUAAAUAAGCUAUGUAUGGACGUUUUUUUGUGUCUCUCAAGAGAGAGAGGGGGAUUUCCCCUCCUCCUUCAUAAUACAAAGUGUGUUCUUGGAUAAGAAUCCCUUAAUCUCUCCCUUUCUUAUACUUAAAUCUCUUAAUCUCUCUAAAUCUCUUGUUUCUGUCCAAGUUCAUACUCUUUUCAACAGACCUUUCUCUCUUCAGUUCAAGCUCUCAUUUCGCCCUUAGUGGCUUCUUCUCACACACACAGCCUGAGCUCUGAAAACCUAACAUGGUAUCAGAGCCAGGUUCAUCAGAACUUGGUUCCAGCUUCCGCAUAUACAUCACAAGCCUAAUCUCAUCUCAAAUCCAAGCCAUUGAAGAUCUGUCCUUUUGGUUCUCUCUCUUCAAGAAGAAGGUGUAUGAAGCCAAGGAGGUUUAUCAUGGUCGUGCCUCCUCUCUCCAGUCCAUUAAAGGUGUGUCUCAACUCUGGUCCAAGCUGAAACCAUUCAAGAAGAAAGCUUUCCCCUUGUUCCUGAAGUUGGUGACUUGUAGCUGUGAAGAAAGGUGGAGCCUUUUGAGUUGUGGUUUCAAGGAGAAGGUUAUGAACACAAAGAGAGGGUGUUGGGUGACGAUCCAGCUCUCUUACCCAUCAGAUUCGUGACCUAUAACCAAGGAGGCUCAAGGAACCAGCUUAGGUUCCUUGGUUGUAAGCUAAUCCUAAACCUUCUUGAUAUGAGCUUGUGAUUGAAACUGGUUGUGUGUUGUGUUGUGUAGUGUUGCAAUCCGUGGGUUCUUGAUAUGAAAUGCUAUAUUGUAUUGUCUAGUUCAGUCCCAGGAUGCUUUAAGAGUCUUGUUUGAUGUUGAGAAAUAAAAUGCUUACCCGGUUUGGUUAUGAUUGUGCUAGGAUGUUAGAAACUGUCUAAAUCCUAUUAGCUUUCAUUAAACUGAAAUCACUUAAGGUUUUGCAUUGUCUGAUGUUGAUUGAUGAUUAAUAUUGCUUUGCCUCAGUUAUAAGUGAUGUGUGUUAGGAUAAUAGAAAGCAUUGGCUGAUCUUGUUGCAUACAUGAGCUAGAAACCGAUUAAGGUCACAGCAUAUUGUCAUCUUGUUGCUGCCUUAACAUUGAGCACAUAGAUGGAUGUCUAUGAUUGCGGAUUAAGGCAGGGUUGAUUGCCUAAGUAGCUUGUCUUGAAUCUGAUUUGAUCUUGCUUGUACUUAGAGAGAUUGCUUGCAAAGAUGUGAACUUGAUAAUGCUUGUUUCAAUCUGUUGCAUAGCUUGUGACAUUGGAGAUCAAACUUGAUGAUUAGUCAAGGAUUGAUCCCAAUGCUUGUGUCUUAUCUUUGCUGGAGUUUGAGUGAUGUUUCAGGUUCACAAGAUGUGCUCUCUAUCCAUCACCAAUCCGAGCAGAAGAGGAAGACUUUACCCAUUGGGAAUGGUCGCUGUGGUGUGUGUGUGGAUACACAAGGCGAGUGGUCAUCACCUAAGUCUAGAGGAGACCGGUGACCAGAAGGCAUUGGAGAUAAAGGGAAGGGUUGAUCAGUGGUUGAAGCGCACUCUAUGAGAUUUUGCGCUCCUGAUCUUAAGGCUCAUUGAGGCUCACUCUAAGCUUGGACCCAUACUCAAUCCAAGCUUGAGGAGGGGAGCAAAGUGAGCCACCUGAUGAUCCUGUUGCUCAAUGACCUGUGUUAGUCAAGGCCAUUGCAAGCUGAUCAUGGAGUGAUCCAGCCGAAGUGGAGGGAAGAAGAAAGUCACUCAACAAGCUAGUGUGAGAUGCUUGGAGAGUGGGCUGAGGUAUCUCCUCAGUGCAAUGGUGAUGUAGUGGAGGAUUCAAGCAUCAAGUCUGAAAGAGAUGGAGUUGCUCUCCACAAGGCUUAUCAUGGAGCUAACAUGCGCUCACUAUCAAGCUUGGACCUUUCCUAUACUCGGUCUCAAGCUUGAGGGGGACUGUGGAUGAGCUUGCAUGAUAAGAGAAGGAGCUGUUAAGCUCAGCAAGUGAGGGAUUCAAGUGGUGUGUGAAGAGCAGCCACUCCUCAACAUUUAAACAAGGGAGUACCUUACUUGGAGACUCAAUGGAGAGGAUCAGGUCGUUCCUAGCCUUUCAAGAUGGCAUGAAGUCAGGUGAAAGGGGGAGACACUAAGCCGGUUCUAUAGAAGAGUCUAAGAAGGUGUGGUGAAGUGAAGAGGCCGUGAUCCAGAGCCUAUGUGCCUAAACCUCAGUGAUACUAAGGUACAUAGGCUCACUGGCCAAUCCCUAGGCCUUAAAGGCUCUACUAUUUUUCCCUCAUCAAGGUUUUGUCCCAAAGGGUUUUCCUUGGUGAGGUUUUUAAUGAGGGAGUUCUUCAAGGUUCCAAGCUUGGCUUAGGAUCACCUAGAGUCAAGCUUGAGGGGGAGUGUUGACUUGAAGAAAGAAAUGGAGCCAAUGGAGGAUUUGGGUUGAGUUUGGGUCUUGAGCAAGAAUAGGGCAAGACCUCCGGAGAUUGUCUAUCAAGGCUUUAGGAGUGUUCAGGAGUGUCCAGAAGUAUCCAAAUGAGGUGUGCAAAGUUAGGGUCAAGUCCAGGAGGGACUUAGACAUACUUAGACACCAUUUGGAGUCAGAUUGGGAGUUGGUACAAAAAUAGGGCGAGGUACGGAUGGGCGGUCCGUACCAUCGACCGUACUUGUUCCGGAUCAACCUGAAAUGAAGCUGUGCAAUUAGGGCGCAAGAGAAGACAAACCUGAGUUAUCUUGUGACUGUUUGUGGAUAAGGGAGAGCUAGGGCGUGGUCAAUGACAGGCUGUCUUUGAGCUGUAAAGGAAAAGCAGCCUUGACCAUGUAUCUAGCCAUCUUUGUGAAUAAGGUUCAUGGGAGCCUUAAGGGAACCAAUCAGGAGCCAGCCCUUGCUUUGACCAGUUUGAAUCAACCAAUCAGCAUCCAUCACGUCCUCAGCAACCCACCAGACUCCAUCCUAGCCAUCCAUUUCAAUUCAGUCAUUUCUAUCCAUUAGAUUAAGGGUUUAUGAGUUUGCAAUGUGUAAAGCUUAUAAAUAAGCUAUGUAUGGACGUUUUU
This is a long non-coding RNA of Brassica napus (rape), 3758 nucleotides long. RefSeq lists it as uncharacterized. The record is from RefSeq and is a predicted model, not a curated record. Lineage: Eukaryota; Viridiplantae; Streptophyta; Magnoliopsida; Brassicales; Brassicaceae. The transcript is spliced from 2 exons.